RNAcentral lists this ribosomal RNA (479 nucleotides) under uncultured Saprospiraceae bacterium. RNAcentral describes it as "bacterial SSU rRNA". It matches the Rfam family "Bacterial small subunit ribosomal RNA", at positions 28 to 505 of the family's 1533-position model. The record is from RNAcentral. Lineage: Bacteria; Pseudomonadati; Bacteroidota; Saprospiria; Saprospirales; Saprospiraceae.
GAUGAACGCUAGCGGGAGGCUUAAUACAUGCAAGUCGUACGGUAAGGUCAGAGCUUGCUCUGAUACACGAGUGGCGCACGGGUGAGUAACGCGUACACUACCUACCUUAGAGAGAGGGAUAGCCCUGGGAAACUGGGAUUAAUACUUCAUAGUAUACUGGUUAUAGAUUAGUAUUAAAGACUUCGGUUGCUCUAAGAUGGGUGUGCGUCCCAUUAGCUAGUUGGUAUGGUAACGGCAUACCAAGGCUACGAUGGGUAGGGGGCGUGAGAGCGUGAACCCCCACACGGGUACUGAGACACGGACCCGACUCCUACGGGAGGCAGCAGUAAGGAAUAUUGGACAAUGGGGGCAACCCUGAUCCAGCCAUCCCGCGUGUAGGAAGACGGCCCUAUGGGUUGUAAACUACUUUUAUAUGGGAAGAAAAGCAGGGAUUUAUCCUUGAUUGACGGUACCAUAGGAAUAAGCACCGGCUAACUCCG